UACGGAGGGGGCUAGCGUUGUUCGGAAUUACUGGGCGUAAAGCGCGCGUAGGCGGCUUUGCAAGUUGGGGGUGGAAUCCCGGGGCUCAACCUCGGAAUUGCCUUCAAGACUGCUUGGCUUGAGUUCGGGAGAGGUGAGUGGAAUUCCCAGUGUAGAGGUGAAAUUCGUAGAGAUUGGGAAGAACACCAGUGGCGAAGGCGGCUCACUGGCCCGCAACUGACGCUGAGGCGCGAAAGCGUGGGGAGCAAACAGG
This 253-nucleotide ribosomal RNA is filed under the name uncultured bacterium. Its description in RNAcentral is "partial 16S ribosomal RNA". It matches the Rfam family "Bacterial small subunit ribosomal RNA", at positions 524 to 776 of the family's 1533-position model. The record is from RNAcentral.